Molecule: long non-coding RNA, 283 nt
Organism: Oncorhynchus gorbuscha (pink salmon)
Lineage: Eukaryota; Metazoa; Chordata; Actinopteri; Salmoniformes; Salmonidae
Exons: 3
Source: RefSeq, a predicted model, not a curated record
CCCCCUCCAUCCUCUCCCCAGCCAAAGCCAUCUCCUGUCUUGUCUACAGUGAAUAAGACUCUGACGGUGCCAGGUAGGAGAGUCUACAACAAGACCACCGGCUCAGACAGCAACACCAGUACCCACUCCCAGCCCAGCUCUCCGGUUACCAAGACCAGGGAUGUUGUGACGGAGUCGUCAGAGGGCGGGGCGAGAGAGAAUGAAGAGAACCCUGUUAUCACCAAGACGGACGAUGGGAAGAAGGAGGACACAGUGACCUCUGACCUCGCCACAGGUGUGUCAA